UCAGGACGAACGCUGGCGGCGUGCUUAACACAUGCAAGUCGAGCGGAAAGGCCUUUCGGGGUACUCGAGCGGCGAACGGGUGAGUAACACGUGAGUAACCUGCCCCUGGCUUUGGGAUAACCAUCGGAAACGGUGGCUAAUACCGAAUAUUCACUUUGGAUCGCAUGAUCUUUUGUGGAAAGUUUUUCGGCUGGGGAUGGGCUCGCGGCCUAUCAGCUUGUUGGUGGGGUGAUGGCCUACCAAGGCUUUGACGGGUAGCCGGCCUGAGAGGGCGACCGGCCACACUGGGACUGAGACACGGCCCAGACUCCUACGGGAGGCAGCAGUGGGGAAUAUUGCACAAUGGGCGGAAGCCUGAUGCAGCGACGCCGCGUGAGGGAUGACGGCCUUCGGGUUGUAAACCUCUUUCAGCAGGGACGAAGCGAAAGUGACGGUACCUGCAGAAGAAGCGCCGGCCAACUACGUGCCAGCAGCCGCGGUAAGACGUAGGGCGCGAGCGUUGUCCGGAUUUAUUGGGCGUAAAGAGCUCGUAGGCGGCUUGUUGCGUCGUCCGUGAAAACCUGGGGCUCAACUCCAGGCUUGCGGUCGAUACGGGCAGGCUAGAGUUCGGUAGGGGAGACUGGAAUUCCUGGUGUAGCGGUGAAAUGCGCAGAUAUCAGGAGGAACACCGGUGGCGAAGGCGGGUCUCUGGGCCGAUACUGAC
RNAcentral lists this ribosomal RNA (703 nucleotides) under Catellatospora sp. L1998. RNAcentral describes it as "bacterial SSU rRNA". It matches the Rfam family "Bacterial small subunit ribosomal RNA", at positions 24 to 744 of the family's 1533-position model. The record is from RNAcentral. Lineage: Bacteria; Bacillati; Actinomycetota; Actinomycetes; Micromonosporales; Micromonosporaceae.